RNAcentral lists this ribosomal RNA (460 nucleotides) under uncultured bacterium. Its description in RNAcentral is "partial 16S ribosomal RNA". It matches the Rfam family "Bacterial small subunit ribosomal RNA", at positions 338 to 795 of the family's 1533-position model. The record is from RNAcentral.
CCUACGGGAGGCAGCAGUGAGGAAUAUUGGUCAAUGGACGAGAGUCUGAACCAGCCAAGUAGCGUGAAGGAUGACUGCCCUAUGGGUUGUAAACUUCUUUUAUAUGGGAAUAAAAUGUUCCACGUGUGGGAUUUUGUAUGUACCAUAUGAAUAAGGAUCGGCUAACUCCGUGCCAGCAGCCGCGGUAAUACGGAGGAUCCGAGCGUUACCCGGAUUUAUUGGGUUUAAAGGGAGCGUAGGUGGAUUGUUAAGUCAGUUGUGAAAGUUUGUGGCUCAACCGUAGAAUUGCAGUUGAAACUGGCAGUCUUGAGUGCAGUAGAGGUGAGCGGAAUUCGAGGUGUAGCGGUGAAAUGCUUAGAUAUCACGAAGAACUCCGAUUGCGAAGGCGGCUCACUGGCCUACAACUGACACUGAGGCUCGAAAGUGUGGGUAUCAAACAGGAUUAGAUACCCUAGUAGUC